This 497-nucleotide ribosomal RNA is filed under the name uncultured bacterium. RNAcentral's name for it is "partial 16S ribosomal RNA". It matches the Rfam family "Bacterial small subunit ribosomal RNA", at positions 28 to 507 of the family's 1533-position model. The record is from RNAcentral.
GAUGAACGCUGGCGGCGUGCCUAAUACAUGCAAGUCGAGCGAACAGACGAGGAGCUUGCUCCUCUGACGUUAGCGGCGGACGGGUGAGUAACACGUGGAUAACCUACCUAUAAGACUGGGAUAACUUCGGGAAACCGGAGCUAAUACCGGAUAAUAUAUUGAACCGCAUGGUUCAAUAGUGAAAGACGGUUUUGCUGUCACUUAUAGAUGGAUCCGCGCCGCAUUAGCUAGUUGGUAAGGUAACGGCUUACCAAGGCAACGAUGCGUAGCCGACCUGAGAGGGUGAGAGGGGACACUGGAACUGAGACACGGUCCAGAGUAGUACGGGAGGCAGCAGGAGGGAUGAGGGAGAAAUGGGCGAAAGCAUGAAGGAGAAAUGUGGAGUGAGGAAGGAAGGUGUUCGGAGAGUAAAACUCGGCUAUUAGGGAAGAAAACAGGUGUAAGGAAAUGUGCACAUCUUGACGGUAGCGAAUGAGAAAGAAAGGGCUAUCUACGUG